Molecule: ribosomal RNA, 141 nt
Filed under: Vibrio parahaemolyticus
Lineage: Bacteria; Pseudomonadati; Pseudomonadota; Gammaproteobacteria; Vibrionales; Vibrionaceae
Description: partial 23S ribosomal RNA
Rfam family: Bacterial large subunit ribosomal RNA
Source: RNAcentral
GGUUAAGUGACUAAGCGUACACGGUGGAUGCCUUGGCAGUCAGAGGCGAUGAAGGACGUAUUAACUUGCGAUAAGCCCAGAUUAGGCAGUAAAAGCCACUUGAGUCUGGGAUUUCCGAAUGGGGAAACCCACUUGCAUAAG